Molecule: long non-coding RNA, 1014 nt
Filed under: Bos indicus x Bos taurus (hybrid cattle)
Lineage: Eukaryota; Metazoa; Chordata; Mammalia; Artiodactyla; Bovidae
Description: lncRNA (ENSBIXG00005015473.1)
Source: RNAcentral
CCCCAACCCCGUCCACUUGAUGUCCAGCGUACGCUGAAAUGAUCAAGACACAGUUUGCACUUAACCACUAAAUCUUUAUUGAAUUUUUAUUAUAACAUCAGUUGAUACAUUAGCAAAUAGAGAGAAAUACAGAGUAAAUAGCAAUAAAUGGGCAAGGGUAGGGAGGUGGCGCAGGGGCAGGUGGGCAGUGAGGAGUUAGGAAGAAGGGGCAGGGGUAAGAAGAAGGGCCACUGACAGGGGCAUAACCAACGGUUCUUAUUCAUCACUUUUCUGUAACUUCCAUGAAUCUUUACCAUCUAUAGUUAUCAAUCCUCAGGGCAAAGAGCCUCUAUUAGAUUAUUUUUAUCCAAUCAUCCCUGAACUUUCUCCCACUAAUUUCUAUCCGUGUCCAACAGCCCCCAAAAGGUUGAUCUCCCUGCAGUUCCCUUCAAGUUUAUCUGAAAUCUUUAGGGGUAGCAAUUAUAGAGGAAAGAAUCACAAGGAGGUGCACAUGUUUACUUAUAGCGGUAUCUAAUAGUAUCAUGAUUAUAUAUAUCCCCAAGUAAAUCGUUACACAAAGAAAAAAAAAAAACAAGCAAAGUUUCCACAGACCACUUUGAUAGCUUUCUACAAUCUGAAACAACAAAGAACUCUCAAUCCUAACUGAUGCACCUUCUUUCUUUAAGACGAAAGCGUGGCAUGGUUCCCAUCAGGCUCUUCAUCUCUGCAGGUGGUUCUCUUCAUUUCUGCCCAGGUCUUUCCAGCAGAGCGUUCUCUGUUGCCAGUCUUGGAAUUCUGAUGUUAGAUGUCUGUGGUGGAUGAUGACUGGAUCAAUUCAGGAGUCCACAAGGUACCUGCAAACUUAAACAGAAACCCUGACUGCACUGUGGAGGUGUGCCCUCUUAUUCUGCCUGCCUGAAGUUCACUGUGCCAACUCACAUGAUUUAUUCCAACCAACUCUCCAUUUUCCAGUAUCUAAUACAAGUACCUCAUUGCUCAAACUAAACUGACCCUUCAGAAAUGUAUAUAAACUUC